Non-coding RNA from Felis catus (domestic cat), 85 nucleotides. The record is from Rfam. NCBI's taxonomy places the organism in Eukaryota, Metazoa, Chordata, Mammalia, Carnivora, Felidae.
GCCUGGGUGGCUCAGUCGGUUGAGCGUCCGACUUCAGCUCAGGUCACGAUCUCGCGGUGCGUGAGUUCGAGCCCCGCGUCGGGCU